UUUCUUUUACUACAAAUAAUUUUUUAUUUUUCAAUUGUAGUCAACAUCCAAUAUAAUAUUAGUUUAAUAUACUAAUGCACACAGGUGUACAACCCAGUGAUUAGAAAUUGUGUGACUUACUAAGUUAUCACCGUGAUAAAACCAGUACCCACCUGGCCAUGCAUAGUUAUUACAAUAUUAUUGACGGUAUUCCCUAGGCCGUACUUGGCAUCCCUGUGACUGUUUUGUGAAUCUUGUUUUAAAUGUUACAGAGGAAUCCCUUUUUUAUCUCUCCUGUAUAAUCUUCUGGAUGGAAACUAUACUGAGCAUUUUUCUAAUUUUGUUUUGUAUUUUGCUCUAUGGAAUAAGUGAACGCUGUUAUUAAUGUUAGUCAGUUAGGGUGGCCAUGUACAUACAUACAUGUUUGCCCUGUGAUUAGUUCUACCACAGGGCACUGACCUAGCAUGUUCAGUCCUGGGAAAUGUGAGGUCCUUCUCGUCACAGUGCCCAGAGUCUCAUUUUACUCUUUGUGUGUGUGUGUGAAAUGAUAUUGUCAUGCUAAUUUUACCUUUUCACUGUGAUGCAUGCCUUAAAAGGGGAAAAUGUAAAAAACCAUAAUUUUUAAAAUAUUAUAUUGCUUAUAGUCUAUCUUUUUCUCUGUUUUCACUAACUUUUAUUGCUCCUUGGGUUUUAAAAUGUUCCCUGAGUUUUAAAGUUGCAGGAACACUUUAGCAAUCAGAAAUCCUAAAUGGGGCUGAAAGUAUAUGAGUAGAACUGAGUGAAGGAUAGAUGUCCUCUUUAAAGCAGAUGACCCAGGUGCAAACCACUGGAAAUCAGCCCAAUCUAAAAAGACAUAAUUGUCUGAAUCCUAACUUAAAUAAAAAUUGUCAGUAUGGUAGGAUUCAGACGGGGAACCAGGUUAAUGCCAACACUGCAAGCUUUCCAUGCAGUAGCUCUUUACCAGUACUUUGUAUAUUUGAAACCUAGAACCAAGUCCAUAGAACAGCAAGAUGCAGAAGUAUAUUUCUUGCACAUUUAAAAAACAUAAAUAUUCACCCUGGCUGGUGUGGCUCA
Phyllostomus discolor (pale spear-nosed bat) is the source of this 1053-nucleotide long non-coding RNA. RefSeq lists it as uncharacterized. Lineage: Eukaryota; Metazoa; Chordata; Mammalia; Chiroptera; Phyllostomidae. The transcript is spliced from 3 exons. The record is from RefSeq and is a predicted model, not a curated record.